AUUAAAUAAAAAUUGGAUACCGAAACCAAUAAGUGAACAAUAUAAUUUCUUAGAUUUAGACUGCGUCACAGACAUAAAUAAAGCAAUAUUACUAUGGACAGGAAAUAUAUCCAAGCAGUUAAUAGAUAAUAAAAUAGAAACAACAAAAACACCAAUAUAUAUAAAAAGAACAUUCGUAGGAACGGCAAAAUUAUGGAUAGAAAAUCUACCCCCAGAAAGUUUAGAAGUACUUAGAAAUGAUAAGAAAAUGGAUGGAUCCGCAUCAGCAACAAAUAUAGAUAUACUAGAUAAAUAUGAAUCAGCAAUAAGAAAUGAAUUUGGAGGCAUGACUACAGAUA
RNAcentral lists this unclassified non-coding RNA (338 nucleotides) under Hevea brasiliensis (rubber tree). The record is from RNAcentral. Lineage: Eukaryota; Viridiplantae; Streptophyta; Magnoliopsida; Malpighiales; Euphorbiaceae.